AGUGAACGCUGGCGGUAGGCCUAACACAUGCAAGUCGAACGGCAGCACAGGAGAGCUUGCUCUCUGGGUGGCGAGUGGCGGACGGGUGAGGAAUACAUCGGAAUCUACUCUGUCGUGGGGGAUAACGUAGGGAAACUUACGCUAAUACCGCAUACGACCUACGGGUGAAAGCAGGGGAUCUUCGGACCUUGCGCGAUUGAAUGAGCCGAUGUCGGAUUAGCUAGUUGGCGGGGUAAAGGCCCACCAAGGCGACGAUCCGUAGCUGGUCUGAGAGGAUGAUCAGCCACACUGGAACUGAGACACGGUCCAGACUCCUACGGGAGGCAGCAGGGGGGAAAAUUGGACAAUGGGCGCAAGCCUGAUCCAGCCAUACCGCGUGGGUGAAGAAGGCCUUCGGGUUGUAAAGCCCUUUUGUUGGGAAAGAAAUCCAGCUGGCUAAUACCCGGUUGGGAUGACGGUACCCAAAGAAUAAGCACCGGCUAACUUCGUGCCAGCAGCCGCCGUAA
RNAcentral lists this ribosomal RNA (506 nucleotides) under uncultured bacterium. RNAcentral describes it as "partial 16S ribosomal RNA". It matches the Rfam family "Bacterial small subunit ribosomal RNA", at positions 29 to 523 of the family's 1533-position model. The record is from RNAcentral.